CGGUUGAUCCUGCCGGACCCCACUGCUAUCGGGAUAGGACUAAAACAUGCUAGUCAAGCGCCUCCCAAUGGUGAGGCGCGGCAAAAGGCUCAGUAACACGUGGCCAACCUACCCUUAGGAUGGGGAUACCCCCAGGAAACUGGGGGUAAUCCCCAAUAGGGUAAGGCGUCUGGAAAGAGCCUUACCCCAAAAGACGCCGAAACCAUGCUUUUCGGCGUUGCCUAAGGACGGGGCCGCGGCCGAUCAGGUUGUUGGUGAGGCAACGGCUCACCAAACCUUUAACCGGUACGGGCCAUGACAGUGGGAGCCCGGAGAUGGGCACUGAGACAAGGGCCCAGGCCCUACGGGGCGCAGCAGUUGCGAAAACUCCACAAUGCACGAAAGUGUGAUGGGGCUAUCCCGAGUGCCGUCCGCUGAGGAUGGCUUUUCCCCGCUGUAAGGAGGCGGAGGAAUAAGGAGAGGGCAAGACUGGUGUCAGCCGCCGCGGUAAUACCAGCUCUCCGAGUGGUGUGGACAAUUAUUGGGCUUAAAGCGUUCGUAGCCGGCCUGGCAAGUCUCUCGUUAAAUCCAGCGACCCAAUCGCUGGACUGCGGGGGAUACUGUCAGGCUUGGGAGCGGAAGAGGCCGACGGUAUUCUCGGGGUAGGGGUGAAAUCCUAUAAUCCCGGGAAUACCACCAGUGGCGAAGGCCGUCGGCUAGUACGCGUCCGACGGUGAGGGACGAAAGCUGGGGGAGCGAACCGGAUUAGAUACCCGGGUAGUCCCAGCUGUAAACGAUGCGGGCUAGGUGUCGGGGUGGCUACGAGCCACCCCGGUGCCGCAGGGAAGCUCAUAAGCCCGCCGCCUGGGAAGUACGGUCGCAAGGCUGAAACUUAAAGGAAUUGGCGGGGGAGCAC
Molecule: ribosomal RNA, 895 nt
Filed under: uncultured archaeon
Lineage: Archaea
Description: bacterial SSU rRNA
Rfam family: Archaeal small subunit ribosomal RNA
Source: RNAcentral